Molecule: unclassified non-coding RNA, 285 nt
Filed under: Hevea brasiliensis (rubber tree)
Lineage: Eukaryota; Viridiplantae; Streptophyta; Magnoliopsida; Malpighiales; Euphorbiaceae
Source: RNAcentral
AGUUGAGUUAGAAAAGGCAUAACGCACAAUGGCACAAUAAAGUAUGUUUAGUGGUGGUUAGUGAUAAAAAAAUACAAACGGAAUAGUAAGUAUUCUGCUAAAGGAAUCUUAUUGCUAGCUUCCCCAGGAAAAGAGAAAUAUCAAGACAACAAAAGCUAAGGCCAUGUUUAAUAAAACAGACAAGCUAAAAGAUAAAAGAUUAGAGUUGAAAUGUCAUAAACAAAACACCAGUAAAUCACAAUGCACAGUCUCAACCAUAAAUAGAAGCUCCAGACUGAUAACCAU